Molecule: ribosomal RNA, 451 nt
Filed under: uncultured bacterium
Lineage: Bacteria
Description: bacterial SSU rRNA
Rfam family: Bacterial small subunit ribosomal RNA
Source: RNAcentral
AUACAUGCAAGUCGAGCGGACCAAACAGGAGCUUGCUCUUGUUUGGUUAGCGGCGGACGGGUGAGUAACACGUGGGUAACCUGCCCGUAAGACCGGGAUAACUCCGGGAAACCGGAGCUAAUACCGGAUAACACCGAAGACUGCAUGGUCUUUGGUUGAAAGGCGGCUUCGGCUGCCACUUACGGAUGGGCCCGCGGCGCAUUAGCUAGUUGGUGAGGUAACGGCUCACCAAGGCGACGAUGCGUAGCCGGCCUGAGAGGGUGACCGGCCACACUGAGACUGAGACACGGCCCAGACCCCUACGGGAGGCAGCAGUAGGGAAUCUUCCGCAAUGGACGAAAGUCUGACGGAGCGACGCCGCGUGAGCGAAGAAGGUCUUCGGAUCGUAAAGCUCUGUUGUUAGGGAAGAAGAAGCGUCGUUCGAACAGGGCGGCGCGGUGACGGUACCUAA